GCCAGGUGCAGUGGUGUGUGUCUGGCAUCCCAGUUACUCAAGAGACUGAUGCAAGAGGAUUGCUUGAGCCCAGGAGUUUGAGGUCAGCCUGGCUAACACAGUAGAACCCUGUCUCUU
This 117-nucleotide small RNA is filed under the name Marmota monax (woodchuck). The record is from RNAcentral. Lineage: Eukaryota; Metazoa; Chordata; Mammalia; Rodentia; Sciuridae.